Long non-coding RNA from Brassica oleracea var. oleracea, 144 nucleotides. RefSeq lists it as uncharacterized. The record is from RefSeq and is a predicted model, not a curated record. Lineage: Eukaryota; Viridiplantae; Streptophyta; Magnoliopsida; Brassicales; Brassicaceae. The transcript has 2 exons.
CCCCAUCUGAUCUGUAAGUAUCUCUACUCUUGAACAACUCAAGAACUCUGCAUCUGACAAGGAAAAGCUGUGAAAAUGGGAGCCCCAAAGCAUAAGUGGACACUGAAAGAAGAAGAAGCUCUUAUGGCUGGAGUACUCAAACAU